This 243-nucleotide ribosomal RNA is filed under the name uncultured bacterium. RNAcentral's name for it is "partial small subunit ribosomal RNA". It matches the Rfam family "Bacterial small subunit ribosomal RNA", at positions 26 to 285 of the family's 1533-position model. The record is from RNAcentral.
AGGAUAAACGCUGGCGGCGUGCCUAAUACAUGCAAGUCGAGCGGCAGCGCGGUCUUCGGACUGGCGGCGAGCGGCGGACGGCUGAGUAACACGUAGGAACGUACCCCAAAGUGAGGGAUAAGCACCAGAAAUGGUGUCUAAUACCGCAUGUGCUCUAAGGAGUAAAGCUUCGGCGCUUUGGGAACGGCCUACGCAUGAUUAGCUAGUUGGUGGGGUAACGGCCUACCAAGGCGACGACGGGUA